CGCAGCCGCGGUAAUUCCAGCUCCAAUAGCGUAUAUUAAAGUUGUUGCAGUUAAAAAGCUCGUAGUUGAAUUUCGGGAUCAAUAUAUCGGUCGUGCCUCCGGUAUGCACUGGUAUUAUUGAUUUCUACCUUCUGACGAAUCAUGAUGUCAUUAAUUUGGUGUCAUGGGGAAUCAGGACUGUUACUUUGAGAAAAUUAGAGUGUUUAAAGCAGGCACACGCUUGAAUACAUUAGCAUGGAAUAAUGAAAUAGGACGUUUGACCCUAUUUUGUUGGUUUCUAGGAUCGACGUAAUGAUUAAUAGGGAUAGUUGGGGGCAUUAGUAUUCAAUUGUCAGAGGUGAAAUUCUUGGAUUUAUUGAAGACUAACUACUGCGAAAGCAUUUGCCAAGGAUGUUUUCAUUAAUCAAGAACGAAAGUUAGGGGAUCGAAGACGAUCAGAUACCGUCGUAGUCUUAACCAUAAACUAUGCCGACAGGGAUCGGAUGAUAGUUAAUUUUAAUGUACUCU
This 507-nucleotide ribosomal RNA is filed under the name uncultured Glomeromycotina. RNAcentral's name for it is "SSU rRNA". It matches the Rfam family "Eukaryotic small subunit ribosomal RNA", at positions 569 to 1082 of the family's 1831-position model. The record is from RNAcentral. Lineage: Eukaryota; Fungi; Glomeromycota.